RNAcentral lists this ribosomal RNA (254 nucleotides) under uncultured bacterium. RNAcentral's name for it is "partial 16S ribosomal RNA". It matches the Rfam family "Bacterial small subunit ribosomal RNA", at positions 524 to 776 of the family's 1533-position model. The record is from RNAcentral.
CACGUAGGGCGCAAGCGUUGUCCGGAAUUAUUGGGCGUAAAGAGCUCGUAGGCGGUGUGUCACGUCGAUCGUGAAAACUUGGGGCUUAACUCUGAGCUUGCGGUCGAUACGGGCAUCACUGGAGUUCGGCAGGGGAGACUGGAAUUCCUGGUGUAGCGGUGAAAUGCGCAGAUAUCAGGAGGAACACCGGUGGCGAAGGCGGGUCUCUGGGCCGAUACUGACGCUGAGGAGCGAAAGCGUGGGGAGCGAACAGG